RNAcentral lists this ribosomal RNA (466 nucleotides) under uncultured bacterium. Its description in RNAcentral is "partial 16S ribosomal RNA". It matches the Rfam family "Bacterial small subunit ribosomal RNA", at positions 28 to 507 of the family's 1533-position model. The record is from RNAcentral.
GACGAACGCUGGCGGCGUGCUUAACACAUGCAAGUCGAACGGAAAGGCCUAGCUUGCUGGGUACUCGAGUGGCGAACGGGUGAGUAACACGUGGGUGAUCUGCCCCUGACUUUGGGAUAAGCCUGGGAAAUGGGGCUAAUACCGGAUAAUCAAUUUUUCUCGCAUGGGGGUUUGUGGGAAGCUUUUGCGGUUGGGGGUUGGCCCGCGGCCUAUCAGCUUGUUGGUGGGGUAAUGGGCUACCAAGGCGACGACGGGUAGCCGACCUGAGAGGGUGAUCGGCCACACUGGGACUGAGACACGGCCCAGACUCCUACGGGAGGCAGCAGUGGGGAAUAUUGCACAAUGGGCGCAAGCCUGAUGCAGCGACGCCGCGUGAGGGAUGACGGCCUUCGGGUUGUAAACCUCUUUCAGCUCCGACGAAGCGCAAGUGACGGUAGGAGCAGAAGAAGCACCGGCCAACUACGUG